CCUACGGGAGGCAGCAGUGAGGAAUAUUGCACAAUGGGGGAAACCCUGAUGCAGCGACGCCGCGUGAGUGAAGAAGUAUUUCGGUAUGGAAAGCUCUAUCAACAGGGAAGAAAAUUACGGUACCUAAAUAAGAAGCCCCGGCUAACUACGUGCCAGCAGCCGCGGUAAUACGUAGGGGGCAAGCGUUAUCCGGAUUUACUGGGUGUUAAGGGAGUGUAGACGGCAGCACAAGUCUGGAGUGAAAGGGCGUGGCUUAACCCCGGAACUGCAUUGGAAACUGUGCAGCUAGAGUGCAGGAGAGGUAAGUGGAAUUCCUGGUGUAGCGGUGAAAUGCGUAGAUAUUAGGAGGAACACCAGUGGCGAAGGCGGCUUACUGGACUGUAACUGACGUUGAGGCUCGAAAGCGUGGGGAGCAAACAGGAUUAGAUACCCCGGUAGUC
RNAcentral lists this ribosomal RNA (440 nucleotides) under uncultured bacterium. RNAcentral describes it as "partial 16S ribosomal RNA". It matches the Rfam family "Bacterial small subunit ribosomal RNA", at positions 338 to 795 of the family's 1533-position model. The record is from RNAcentral.